This 67-nucleotide transfer RNA is filed under the name Diplorchis sp. RNAcentral describes it as "tRNA-Cys". The record is from RNAcentral. Lineage: Eukaryota; Metazoa; Platyhelminthes; Monogenea; Polystomatidea; Polystomatidae.
GAAUUGUAAGUCUUUUAUGAUAUUAUUUUGCAAAAAUAAUGUGGUUAUUAAUGUGUAACACAGUUUU